This 244-nucleotide ribosomal RNA is filed under the name uncultured bacterium. Its description in RNAcentral is "partial 16S ribosomal RNA". It matches the Rfam family "Bacterial small subunit ribosomal RNA", at positions 524 to 767 of the family's 1533-position model. The record is from RNAcentral.
UACGUAGGGGGCAAGCGUUGUCCGGAAUCAUUGGGCGUAAAGCGCGUGUAGGCGGUUUCGUAAGUCUGCUGUGAAAGUCGAAGGCUCAACCUUCGAGUGCCAGUGGAUACUGCGAAACUAGAGUUCGGAAGAGGCAAGUGGAAUUCCUGGUGUAGCGGUGAAAUGCGCAGAUAUCAGGAGGAACACCAACGGCGAAGGCAGCUUGCUGGGACGACACUGACGCUGAGACGCGAAAGCGUGGGGA